This 695-nucleotide ribosomal RNA is filed under the name Escherichia coli. RNAcentral describes it as "partial 23S ribosomal RNA". It matches the Rfam family "Bacterial large subunit ribosomal RNA", at positions 2104 to 2798 of the family's 2925-position model. Lineage: Bacteria; Pseudomonadati; Pseudomonadota; Gammaproteobacteria; Enterobacterales; Enterobacteriaceae. The record is from RNAcentral.
CUAUAGCUUGACACUGAACAUUGAGCCUUGAUGUGUAGGAUAGGUGGGAGGCUUUGAAGUGUGGACGCCAGUCUGCAUGGAGCCGACCUUGAAAUACCACCCUUUAAUGUUUGAUGUUCUAACGUUGACCCGUAAUCCGGGUUGCGGACAGUGUCUGGUGGGUAGUUUGACUGGGGCGGUCUCCUCCUAAAGAGUAACGGAGGAGCACGAAGGUUGGCUAAUCCUGGUCGGACAUCAGGAGGUUAGUGCAAUGGCAUAAGCCAGCUUGACUGCGAGCGUGACGGCGCGAGCAGGUGCGAAAGCAGGUCAUAGUGAUCCGGUGGUUCUGAAUGGAAGGGCCAUCGCUCAACGGAUAAAAGGUACUCCGGGGAUAACAGGCUGAUACCGCCCAAGAGUUCAUAUCGACGGCGGUGUUUGGCACCUCGAUGUCGGCUCAUCACAUCCUGGGGCUGAAGUAGGUCCCAAGGGUAUGGCUGUUCGCCAUUUAAAGUGGUACGCGAGCUGGGUUUAGAACGUCGUGAGACAGUUCGGUCCCUAUCUGCCGUGGGCGCUGGAGAACUGAGGGGGGCUGCUCCUAGUACGAGAGGACCGGAGUGGACGCAUCACUGGUGUUCGGGUUGUCAUGCCAAUGGCACUGCCCGGUAGCUAAAUGCGGAAGAGAUAAGUGCUGAAAGCAUCUAAGCACGAAACUUGCC